RNAcentral lists this unclassified non-coding RNA (229 nucleotides) under unidentified adenovirus. RNAcentral describes it as "MINX from unidentified adenovirus (PDB 7ONB, chain G)". The record is from RNAcentral. Lineage: Varidnaviria; Bamfordvirae; Preplasmiviricota; Pharingeaviricetes; Rowavirales; Adenoviridae.
GGGCGCAGUAGUCCAGGGUUUCCUUGAUGAUGUCAUACUUAUCCUGUCCCUUUUUUUUCCACAGCUCGCGGUUGAGGACAAACUCUUCGCGGUCUUUCCACAGGUAAGUUGGAAGCAUGUAGAACCUUGGAUCCGAUAUCCGUACACCAUCAGGGUACGAGCUAGCCCAUGGCGUACACCAUCAGGGUACGACUAGUAGAUCUCGUACACCAUCAGGGUACGGAAUUCU